AUGUACGACACCGUUAACUUUUCGUUCAAAGUUUGACCAUUCGUCUUAUUUAAAAAAUUUAUAAAAUUAUUAUUUAUUUUAUUGUGACUUGAUUCAUCAUCAAAUGUUCUUUAAGAAUGACAUAAAUAUUUUCAUAUUUUUAUAAAAAUUUUAAAUAAAACGAAUGGUCAAACGUUGGUCAAAAAGUCAACGGCGUCAUACAUU
Molecule: microRNA precursor, 204 nt
Filed under: Oryza glumipatula
Lineage: Eukaryota; Viridiplantae; Streptophyta; Magnoliopsida; Poales; Poaceae
Description: MIR812 microRNA precursor family
Rfam family: MIR812 microRNA precursor family
Source: Rfam by way of RNAcentral